Non-coding RNA from Chelonia mydas (Green sea turtle), 114 nucleotides. Lineage: Eukaryota; Metazoa; Chordata; Testudines; Cheloniidae. The record is from Rfam.
GUGGGCUACGGGGACAUGUCCCCCGUGACAGUGGGCGGGAAGAUCGUGGGCUCGCUGUGCGCCAUCGCCGGGGUCCUCACCAUCUCCCUCCCGGUGCCCGUCAUCGUCUCCAAC